GGACCAAGGAGUCUAGCGUGUGCGCGAGUCAUUGGGACUCUAACGAAACCUAAAGGCGUAAUGAAAGUGAAGGUCCGCCUUGCGCGGACCGAGGGAGGAUGGGUCUCCUCGAGGGACACCCCGCACUCCCAGGGCGUCUCGUUCUCAUUGCGAGAAGAGGCGCACCAAGAGCGUACACGCUGGGACCCGAAAGAUGGUGAACUAUGCCUGGUCAGGACGAAGUCAGGGGAAACCCUGAUGGAGGUCCGUAGCGAUUCUGACGUGCAAAUCGAUCGUCGGAACUGGGUAUAGGGGCGAAAGACUAAUCGAACCAUCUAGUAGCUGGUUCCCUCCGAAGUUUCCCUCAGGAUAGCUGGCGCUCGCUUCUCGCGAGUCUCAUUCGGUAAAGCGAAUGAUUAGAGGCAUUGGGGUCGAAACGGCCUCAACCUAUUCUCAAACUUUAAAUGGGUGAGAUCUCCGGCUUGCUUGAACUGUGAAGCCGCGAGAUAUCGGAUCAGAGUGCCAAGUGGGCCACUUUUGGUAAGCAGAACUGGCGCUGUGGGAUGAACCAAACGCCGAGUUAAAGCGCCUAAAUCGACGCUUAUGGGAUACCAUGAAAGGUGUUGGUAACUUAAGACAGCAGGACGGUGGCCAUGGAAGUCGGA
RNAcentral lists this ribosomal RNA (644 nucleotides) under Xeloma tomentosa. RNAcentral describes it as "LSU rRNA". It matches the Rfam family "Eukaryotic large subunit ribosomal RNA", at positions 663 to 1265 of the family's 3401-position model. Lineage: Eukaryota; Metazoa; Arthropoda; Insecta; Coleoptera; Scarabaeidae. The record is from RNAcentral.